Non-coding RNA from Ixodes scapularis (black-legged tick), 46 nucleotides. Lineage: Eukaryota; Metazoa; Arthropoda; Arachnida; Ixodida; Ixodidae. The record is from Rfam.
CACACGGCCUUUCUAAAGGCCACUCAUAGUUGCAUUGAAGAGGCCG